Long non-coding RNA from Heterocephalus glaber (naked mole-rat), 2692 nucleotides. The record is from Ensembl. Lineage: Eukaryota; Metazoa; Chordata; Mammalia; Rodentia; Bathyergidae.
CCAAUAUCUGUUACACAUUUUGGUCUUUAUUUACACUUUCAGGUUUUCACACCAGAGAAACAAUGUGUGUCCAAUUUAUUUCACUUAAGAGUAUGGUCCCAAGGUCCAUCCAUUUAACUAUAAGUGUGUGAAGCGCAUCCUUCUUUAUGGCAGAGUAGUACUCCAUUGUAUAAAAAAAUCCCACAUCUUCUUUAUCUGUUCAUCAGUUGAUGGACAUUUGGGCUGUUUCCAAGCUUUAGCUAUUACAAACUGUGCCGCUAUAAACAUGGUGUGCAUAUAUCGCUGUGGUAGGAUGCUUUUAAUUCUUUCAUUCCCAGUGAUUAUUAAAGGUCAACUCAAUUAAUUCUCUUUGAAUCUUGGUAGUUCACUGGAAUGAAGUAACUGGCAUUACAUAGAUGAAUCUUGGGAACAGGGGCUGAGCUACAUGGUCCAUUUCCAUUAUCAUGGGGUUCUUCCUCUUCCCCUUCCCCUUCCUUCCCUUGGCCUCCUGCACAAUUCAGUGCCAAACCCCUCAGGUGGCUCAGGGCAGGGUGCUAGACCCCAAGCAGGGUGAGGAAGGCGUCACAACAGAGGAACCGCCCGGCACUGGUGUCCAAAUCUGCGUGAAGCGGGCAGAUGGACCUGGGUGGAACCCAGUAGAACCCGGGUGAUUGAGGGUGUGCCGAGUGGUGGGUACAUUGUGAAGGAUGCUGGAGCACAGACACUGGAGUGGAGUGUGUCCAUGUAGGGAGGGAUGCUGGUAGAGAUGGGAGAUGGGUUAUACGCAGGGGGCUGAUAAAAUGAUAAAUCUAUUAAGGGUAACUGGCCCCAGGUUUAAAACUGUCAGGGAAAGGAGUUACAGGUAGACAAUGAGUGAAUGAGCCCUGAGGGAUGGAACUAGAACGAGAGACGUCAGUGUGGAUCGCUGACCUUCAUGUGUGUACACAGAUGCUAACGAGGGAACUACAGAGGGGCAGGUGUGUGUGCCUGCAUGCAUCCCCUAACUCGGUCCGCCACCGGGAGGGUCUGUGACCAGUGAUGCCCACAGGCACGUCCAGCCCCGGACCCUAGCUUCCCUCUGCUGUUCUCUAAUGAAAGGGACCAGAGUUGCUGAGAGAAGCAGCUGUUUCCAGGUGAGAGCAAAGGAAGCACGAGGUGAGCCUGGGAUGUCUGCACCCGCCUGAACACAAGGAGCUGUCCCAGCAGUGAUGGGGACGCGUCCAGAGGGCGCCAAACAGUGUGAAGGAGCUCCCUUUGGCCCACUCGGAAACACUCUGAGCAUCAAAAGGAAAUGGGGGUAAUAACGUUGCAACCCGUUAAGUAAAAAGAUGCUGGCCUGCACCUAUUUAUGAGGAGGCAUUGGGGUGACCUGGACUGACAGACAUUCUACAAAACAGGCCCCCUGUAACCUUCCAAAAUGUCAGGAUCAUGAAAAUCAAAGAAAAGUUUGAAGAACUGUUCCCCACCGGCAGGGGCCACAGGGAUCACUAUAAGCAACACGAGGUCCCCAACUGGAUCCUUCGCUGUGAAAGACAAUAUGGAGACAUCUGUGGCGACCAUUAGGUGUGUCACUGAAAUUCUCAUCAGCUGAAUUUCUUACUCCUUUUUAAAAAUCUGAAGUAUGAGAUAAGAGGCCACGUCUAACCACUUCGCUUGAAAAUUCUGCCUAAAAACUUGGUCACAGAGGAAGAUGCUGCCUGACUUUAUGAAAUAGUCUAGUUCUCCCUGGAAGGAGGUGGAAAGCUACUUUACAGAAAAGCUAUUUCCCUGAGACACGGACCUUCAGUAACUCUCUGACAGUGAGCUUGGUGUGCUCACCUCGUUCUGUGAAGGUGCCUUGAGCAGGGAUCACAAGCUUCCAGGCAGGUGUGAGCUCACUGGCACCCUCCCUGCACUUCAGGGCUCCUCACAUGGAGGCCACCUUUGAUGCUGAUGCCAGCCGCACCCGUGACAUCUCUGUUGUGGACAAGAGAACAGGAAAGGGGAAGAAGACUGCUGUCGCAGAGACAAGGGCCACUUGGACAAGGAAGACAGUGAGCGUGCGGCUGGGGAAGCUGGAAGGCUUGGAGCCAGAGAUGAGGAGUAGAGGAGCAGGCAUCGAGCAGGAAUUGCUUAAGUCAUAUUCAUUCAACACGAAGCCAAUAACGGAAGAUGAGAAACUUCAACGCAAGAGCAGCAAUGAGGAAAAACAGUCAAUUUUCAGAUUUUUACGGAUAAUAUUGUUCUACUACAUGCAACAUAUUGUUCUGACUGUACAAGCGCUAGGACCCAAAUUCCAUCCCCAGUACCAGAAAAACAAAACAAAACAUAUCGUUCUGAAAUACACCUACAUUGUGAAAUGCCACAUCUAGUUAACUAACAUUUGAUUACCUCGUGUGGUUGAUCAUUUGUCAUCUCCUCUCUUGGCAUUCUUCAAGAAUGUAAUAUGAAAUAUUUAAAAAACCAAUAGGAAAUAGGGGGAAUGAAAAGAAUUAAGAUAUGGGCCGGGGAUUUAGCUCAGUGGUUUCGCCGCCUGCUGUGCAAGCGCAAGGACCUGAGUUCAAUCCCCAGUACCAAAAAAAAAAAAAAGGAAAAGAAUUAAGACGUGUUAUGUAUAUGUACCAACUCUCCAAGAAUAAAUGCUGCCUACAUGAUACUCACUUAGUACUCACUUGGUACAGUCCUUGCCAGGCGUGCACAAAGCUUUGGAUUUGGAAUCCAGUUCCACAAAAAC